UACACCAUACUUUUAAGUGAUUUAUAAGACUCAUUAGUCUUUUCGUCUGUGCUAUCUUCUGCAGAAAAAUAUAAAUCCAUUGAUCUGUACGAGCUACCGUUAGAAGUUUUCAGUCCCAUUCAUUGGGUGAGAAAAUUUUGGAAGUUAAGGGGCCCGUUGUCAAUUGGGUGGAAAAGAAUUGUUAAAACUUGCGGUUGUUUUCAGGGAGAGGAGGCCUUAUCUCGCUUCUGCGGGGAAAAGGGAAUAGGUCGAGUUGCAAGUUAAUUGAUAGAGUAAUUGAUAAAGAAUAAAGAAUGGACUACUAUUAAUACUGUGAACGGCAUGGUCCAAACCAGAGGUUGUCAUUAGCUUGUGUGGCCCCGUGUCCCGAACAUCCUCCCCAUUGUUUAAGUAGAGACA
RNAcentral lists this long non-coding RNA (399 nucleotides) under Elaeis guineensis (African oil palm). RNAcentral describes it as "long non-coding RNA (EGUI_LNC021347)". Lineage: Eukaryota; Viridiplantae; Streptophyta; Magnoliopsida; Arecales; Arecaceae. The record is from RNAcentral.